GUUGUAUGGUUAAGUGACUAAGCGUACACGGUGGAUGCCUUGGCAGUCAGAGGCGAUGAAGGACGUAGUAACUUGCGAUAAGCUCAGAUUAGGCAGUAACAGCCACUUGAGUCUGAGAUUUCCGAAUGGGGAAACCCAACUGCAUAAGCAGUUACUGUUAACUGAAUACAUAGGUUAACAGGGCGAACCGGGGGAACUGAAACAUCUAAGUACCCCGAGGAGAAGAAAUCAACCGAGAUUCCGAUAGUAGCGGCGAGCGAAAUUGGAUUAGCCCUUAAGCUUUACAUGCGUCAGGUGAAGGUUCUGGAAAGGACCGCGAAACAGGGUGAUAGCCCCGUAGCCGACAGCGCAUGUUCAGUGAAAUCGAGUAGGGCGGGACACGUGUUAUCCUGUCUGAAUAUGGGGGGACCAUCCUCCAAGGCUAAAUACUCCUGACUGACCGAUAGUGAACCAGUACCGUGAGGGAAAGGCGAAAAGAACCCCUGUGAGGGGAGUGAAAUAGAACCUGAAACCGUGUACGUACAAGCAGUAGGAGCCUCCUUUGUGGGGUGACUGCGUACCUUUUGUAUAAUGGGUCAGCGACUUAUAUUCAGUGGCAAGGUUAACCAUAUAGGGGAGCCGUAGGGAAACCGAGUCUUAACUGGGCGUUCAGUCUCUGGAUAUAGACCCGAAACCGGGUGAUCUAGCCAUGGGCAGGUUGAAGGUUGAGUAACAUCAACUGGAGGACCGAACCGACUAAUGUUGAAAAAUUAGCGGAUGACUUGUGGCUAGGGGUGAAAGGCCAAUCAAACUCGGAGAUAGCUGGUUCUCCCCGAAAGCUAUUUAGGUAGCGCCUCGGACGAAUACUACUGGGGGUAGAGCACUGUUAAGGCUAGGGGGUCAUCCCGACUUACCAACCCUUUGCAAACUCCGAAUACCAGUAAGUAAUAUCCGGGAGACACACGGCGGGUGCUAACGUCCGUCGUGGAGAGGGAAACAACCCAGACCGCCAGCUAAGGUCCCAAAUUACAGCUAAGUGGGAAACGAUGUGGGAAGGCUCAGACAGCUAGGAUGUUGGCUUAGAAGCAGCCAUCAUUUAAAGAAAGCGUAAUAGCUCACUAGUCGAGUCGGCCUGCGCGGAAGAUGUAACGGGGCUAAGCUGUAAACCGAAGCUGCGGCAAUGCGAUUUAUCGUAUUGGGUAGGGGAGCGUUCUGUAAGCCGUUGAAGGUGUGUUGUAAAGCAUGCUGGAGGUAUCAGAAGUGCGAAUGCUGACAUGAGUAACGACAAGGGGGGUGAAAAACCUCCCCGCCGGAAGACCAAGGGUUCCUGUCCAACGUUAAUCGGGGCAGGGUAAGUCGACCCCUAAGGCGAGGCUGAAAAGCGUAGUCGAUGGGAAACGGGUUAAUAUUCCCGUACUUCUUACAAUUGCGAUGGGGGGACGGAGAAGGCUAGGUGGGCCUGGCGACGGUUGUCCAGGUUCAAGUGCGUAGGCUUAAGAGUUAGGUAAAUCCGGCUCUUUUUAAGGCUGAGACACGACGUCGAGCACCUACGGGUGUGAAGUCAUUGAUGCCAUGCUUCCAGGAAAAGCCUCUAAGCUUCAGAUUGUAAGGAAUCGUACCCCAAACCGACACAGGUGGUCGGGUAGAGAAUACCAAGGCGCUUGAGAGAACUCGGGUGAAGGAACUAGGCAAAAUGGUACCGUAACUUCGGGAGAAGGUACGCUCUUGAUGGUGAAGUCCCUCGCGGAUGGAGCUGAUGAGAGUCGCAGAUACCAGGUGGCUGCAACUGUUUAUUAAAAACACAGCACUGUGCAAAAUCGUAAGAUGACGUAUACGGUGUGACGCCUGCCCGGUGCCGGAAGGUUAAUUGAUGGGGUUAGACUUCGGUCGAAGCUCUUGAUCGAAGCCCCGGUAAACGGCGGCCGUAACUAUAACGGUCCUAAGGUAGCGAAAUUCCUUGUCGGGUAAGUUCCGACCUGCACGAAUGGCGUAAUGAUGGCCACGCUGUCUCCACCCGAGACUCAGUGAAAUUGAAAUCGCUGUGAAGAUGCAGUGUACCCGCGGCUAGACGGAAAGACCCCGUGAACCUUUACUACAGCUUGGCACUGAACAUUGAACCUACAUGUGUAGGAUAGGUGGGAGGCUUUGAAGACGUGACGCCAGUUGCGUUGGAGCCGACCUUGAAAUACCACCCUUGUAUGUUUGAUGUUCUAACUUAGACCCGUUAUCCGGGUUGAGGACAGUGCCUGGUGGGUAGUUUGACUGGGGCGGUCUCCUCCCAAAGAGUAACGGAGGAGCACGAAGGUGGGCUAAUCACGGUUGGACAUCGUGAGGUUAGUGCAAUGGCAUAAGCCCGCUUAACUGCGAGAAUGACGGUUCGAGCAGGUGCGAAAGCAGGUCAUAGUGAUCCGGUGGUUCUGAAUGGAAGGGCCAUCGCUCAACGGAUAAAAGGUACUCCGGGGAUAACAGGCUGAUACCGCCCAAGAGUUCAUAUCGACGGCGGUGUUUGGCACCUCGAUGUCGGCUCAUCACAUCCUGGGGCUGAAGUCGGUCCCAAGGGUAUGGCUGUUCGCCAUUUAAAGUGGUACGCGAGCUGGGUUUAGAACGUCGUGAGACAGUUCGGUCCCUAUCUGCCGUGGGCGUUGGAAGAUUGAAGGGGGCUGCUCCUAGUACGAGAGGACCGGAGUGGACGAACCUCUGGUGUUCGGGUUGUGUCGCCAGACGCAUUGCCCGGUAGCUAAGUUCGGAAUCGAUAACCGCUGAAAGCAUCUAAGCGGGAAGCGAGCCCUGAGAUGAGUCUUCCCUGAUACUUUAAGUAUCCUAAAGGGUUGUUCGAGACUAGAACGUUGAUAGGCAGGGUGUGUAAGCGUUGUGAGGCGUUGAGCUAACCUGUACUAAUUGCCCGUGAGGCUUAACCAUACAACACCCAAGGGGUUUUGUA
This 2920-nucleotide ribosomal RNA is filed under the name Vibrio furnissii. Its description in RNAcentral is "23S ribosomal RNA". It matches the Rfam family "Bacterial large subunit ribosomal RNA". Lineage: Bacteria; Pseudomonadati; Pseudomonadota; Gammaproteobacteria; Vibrionales; Vibrionaceae. The record is from RNAcentral.